GAACCUUGUCUGAGAAUUUGGAAGCUGAGUCUGAGGCUAUGGAUAAGCAAUCCAGUCCAAAAGAGAAUGAUGCUCGUUCCACUCAGAAUCAGAGUGUGAAGCAGAAUCUCACUGUAACUCCAAAAACAUUUGUUGGUUCAGAGAUAGUUGAUGGAAAGACGGUUAAUGUGGUUGAUGGGCUCAAAUUAUAUGAGCAAUUGCUUGAUGAUGUGGAAGUUUCGAAGCUUGUUUCGCUGGUUAAUGAUUUGAGAGCUUCAGGGAGAAGAGG
This 268-nucleotide unclassified non-coding RNA is filed under the name Hevea brasiliensis (rubber tree). Lineage: Eukaryota; Viridiplantae; Streptophyta; Magnoliopsida; Malpighiales; Euphorbiaceae. The record is from RNAcentral.